AUUGAACGCUGGCGGCAGGCCUAACACAUGCAAGUCGAACGGUAGCACAGAGAGCUUGCUCUCGGGUGACGAGUGGCGGACGGGUGAGUAACGUCUGGGAAACUGCCCGAUGGAGGGGGAUAACUACUGGAAACGGUAGCUAAUACCGCAUAACGUCGCAAGACCAAAGUGGGGGACCUUCGGGCCUCACCCCAUCGGAGGUGCCCAGAUGGGAUUAGCUAGUAGGUGGGGUAAUGGCUCACCUAGGCGACGAUCCCUAGCUGGUCUGAGAGGAUGACCAGCCACACUGGAACUGAGACACGGUCCAGACUCCUACGGGAGGCAGCAGUGGGGAAUAUUGCACAAUGGGCGCAAGCCUGAUGCAGCCAUGCCGCGUGUAUGAAGAAGGCCUUCGGGUUGUAAAGUACUUUCAGCGGGGAGGAAGGCGGUGAAGUUAAUAGCUUCACCGAUUGACGUUACCCGCAGAAGAAGCACCGGCUAACUCCGUGCCAGCCGCCGCCGUAA
This 504-nucleotide ribosomal RNA is filed under the name uncultured bacterium. RNAcentral's name for it is "partial 16S ribosomal RNA". It matches the Rfam family "Bacterial small subunit ribosomal RNA", at positions 29 to 523 of the family's 1533-position model. The record is from RNAcentral.